GAUGAACGCUGGCGGCGUGCCUAAUACAUGCAAGUCGAGCGAACAGACGAGGAGCUUGCUCCUCUGACGUUAGCGGCGGACGGGUGAGUAACACGUGGAUAACCUACCUAUAAGACUGGGAUAACUUCGGGAAACCGGAGCUAAUACCGGAUAACAUGUUGAACCGCAUGGUUCAACAGUGAAAGACGGUCUUGCUGCCACUUAUAGAUGGAUCCGCGCCGCAUUAGCUAGUUGGUAAGGUAACGGCUUACAAAGGCAACGAUGCGUAGCCGACCUGAGAGGGUGAUCGGCCACACUGGAACUGAGACACGGUCCAGACUCCUACGGGAGGCAGCAGUAGGGAAUCUUCCGCAAUGGGCGAAAGCCUGACGGAGCAACGCCGCGUGAGUGAAGAAGGUCUUCGGAUCGUAAAACUCUGUUAUUAGGGAAGAACAAAUGUGUAAGUAACUAUGCACGUCUUGACGGUACCUAAUCAGAAAGCCACGGCUAACUACGUG
This 497-nucleotide ribosomal RNA is filed under the name uncultured bacterium. RNAcentral describes it as "partial 16S ribosomal RNA". It matches the Rfam family "Bacterial small subunit ribosomal RNA", at positions 28 to 507 of the family's 1533-position model. The record is from RNAcentral.